GUCAGUGCAUCAGCAAAUCAUUGGUUUGCAAUGGGGAUUCUGACUGUGAUGAAGACAGUGCUGAUGAAGACAGAUGUGAGGACUCAGAAAGGAGAACUUCCUGUGAUAUCGAUAAACCUCCUCCUAACAUAGAACUUACUGGAAAUGGAUUCAAUUCAAAACCAGCUGUUGCCAUAGAUACGAAAGAGCCAUGUGUUUCCCAAAUAUGUUCUUAGAUGGAAAGAAUGUUGGAUUUUCUGAGCCAUUAGUUUUAGUGAUUAUACCAAGCAGGGGAAGCUGGAUAAUGUAUGGUGUGUAUUAGGAUGCUGUGCUCUUCAUUUGAACUCUCUCAAAGAAGUGUUUAAGUGUAAUGCAUUUUAAGAAUUUGUAGAGUUCUGUAAUAAAUUUUUUUCCCCACC
Molecule: small RNA, 398 nt
Filed under: Pan troglodytes (chimpanzee)
Lineage: Eukaryota; Metazoa; Chordata; Mammalia; Primates; Hominidae
Description: processed transcript
Source: RNAcentral